Molecule: long non-coding RNA, 726 nt
Organism: Humulus lupulus (European hop)
Lineage: Eukaryota; Viridiplantae; Streptophyta; Magnoliopsida; Rosales; Cannabaceae
Exons: 3
Source: RefSeq, a predicted model, not a curated record
UCUACAUAUCUCAUUCUCUCUCUUAACUCUAUGUAAAUCUCCUACCCAAACCCCAAAUUUUCCCGAGACCACUCUAAAAAAAUUUCCAAACUUUCUGAGAGGAAAUUCUCCAAAUUUCCCAGAAAUUUCCCCACAGCCUCAAACUCCCAGCUCUCCCUACCUCUCAUCGAAAUCCCAAAAUUCUAGUCCUCUACUAAUAAUCUUUAUCCUGUGCUAUUACUUGCUUAUUUUCUUAUUCACUUUGUCUCUCUCUCCUUUUUUCGUGUGUGGGUUUCGUCGUUUUUGUUACACUAGAUAGCCAGUAUUUGAGCUCUGAAAUCUCCGUUAGACAAGGGGUAUCUGCUAGAAGAGGUGCUCAAGACUCUUUGCGGUUCGAAUCAGUGGUCUUAUGAUGAGUUCUGGAAGAUCGGCUGCCAAAACCCUAAGCUGCUAAUAUGGGAAGAAUAUCACUAUGAAUCCUCAAAUUCUUCUCUACCUGCAAGCAUUUUUGGAACUGGGAGUACUGAGCUACCUUUUGGAGAGUGGGAAGGACUAUUGAUGUCAUCUGAAACUUGCCCUUCUCAGCUUGGAAGUCAAGUGGGAGAUCAAGUCUCGACACUUAUUAAAAAAAAUGAUGAUUAGUAAUCAGGUCAAUAUAGUGGGUGAAGGAAUAGUUGGGCGAGCUGCAUUUACUGGAAACCAUCAAUGGAUUCUUUCAAAUAGUUAUGAUAAAUAUGUCCAUCUCCU